CCUACGGGUGGCAGCAGUGGGGAAUAUUGCACAAUGGGCGCAAGCCUGAUGCAGCCAUGCCGCGUGUGUGAAGAAGGCCUUCGGGUUGUAAAGCACUUUCAGCGGGGAGGAAGGCGGUGAGGUUAAUAACCUCAUCGAUUGACGUUACCCGCAGAAGAAGCACCGGCUAACUCCGUGCCAGCAGCCGCGGUAAUACGGAGGGUGCAAGCGUUAAUCGGAAUUACUGGGCGUAAAGCGCACGCAGGCGGUCUGUCAAGUCGGAUGUGAAAUCCCCGGGCUCAACCUGGGAACUGCAUUCGAAACUGGCAGGCUAGAGUCUUGUAGAGGGGGGUAGAAUUCCAGGUGUAGCGGUGAAAUGCGUAGAGAUCUGGAGGAAUACCGGUGGCGAAGGCGGCCCCCUGGACAAAGACUGACGCUCAGGUGCGAAAGCGUGGGGAGCAAACAGGAUUAGAUACCUCUGUAGUC
This 465-nucleotide ribosomal RNA is filed under the name uncultured Klebsiella sp. RNAcentral describes it as "bacterial SSU rRNA". It matches the Rfam family "Bacterial small subunit ribosomal RNA", at positions 338 to 795 of the family's 1533-position model. The record is from RNAcentral. Lineage: Bacteria; Pseudomonadati; Pseudomonadota; Gammaproteobacteria; Enterobacterales; Enterobacteriaceae.